AAUUAAUGAGAAACCACUGAUGUGGAAUACUGAGCUCCUAUUUUGAGGGGGAGUAGGCAUAUUUGUGCAGUUUAAAUAAUUUGGUCACGUUAAUAAUUCAUUAAUGAAGAGAAUAGAAACAAGAAUAGAAACAAAUCCAUUCAAAAUCUUUGACUAUAUACUUAUGGACUGCUAACGGCAGCCAUUAUGCGUCCCAAGACCGGUAGCGACACCAUGUCCCAAAAGUGGCCAAGCUAAGAACUUAAUAACCUCAUAACCACUCAUAACUGGGUGAUUGGUACUCAUUGGACCACACGAUUGGAGUAAGUUAAAGAAAUAUAAGAUAUAAAGUGCAAGAAUUGAAACAAUGGUUCGUUAUUGUUUUGUAGAAUUAUGUAAAAACACAAGAUAUAAAGCAAAAGAAGUUUCCAAGCAAUCUUCAACUUCAAGAUGAAUGGGUCCAAGCUUUACUCCCUUUGAAUGCCCAGAACAGUGCUUUAAGCUUGCCAAAAAUGGCAUCGAUAUAUGCAGAGCAUUUUGAUAAAAAAUGUUUUUCAAAAAACGACCAUUUGUGUCAUCAGAAAUUUAAAUAUUGAAAGUUUAUUUCAAAAUUUUGAAUGCCCACAUUAAAGACAACGAUUCGUUAGACAACCAUCAAUACGAAAUGAUUGAAACAAUUAUUGAAUUAUACUUAAAAGUAUAAUUAUAUUCUAUUGGCAAAAAAAAUGCAAGAGAAUCUCAUAUAAAAUACAUAUGACAACACUUAACGAAAUCAGUAUUGUUUAGAGGACAAUAAUAAAAUAUUAUUUAUAAUAUUUUAUAACAAAGUUUUUUUUAUAUUAUUUUAAAUAAUAUUUAAUAGUCGUUCUGUUAUUCUCUUGUAUGUUCAGGUAUAUUUCAUUACAUCAUAUAUAGAUUUACAUAAAUUAUUAUAAUAUAUUUCAUCGUGAAAAAAUUGUUCUUGUAGAAUCAGUUUAAAGCAAUUUAAAUUUUUCCCGCGUUUUGGGAUAUGGUAGCGCUACAGAUCUUGGAUCGCGACCUUAUACAUUGCUUAGAUAGGAAAAGUCAAAGUUCAAAAUAGCCACGAAAUAACCUGACACUUGCAAGUCUCGUAAAACAGUUUAAUAAGAUUGCUCUCAAAAGUUCGUUUCGCGAUUUGCACUUAUUAAGAUUGAAAAUCUUUUUAAUUUCGAACAGCCGACAUUCAUGUCCCGUACUUGAUUGUACUUAGAUGAUAAUGAAAGAAACUUUUGGAACAACCAAAUAUAAUGGAACGCUGGGGCUGCAGCCAAGUAGCCUCAAUCGCUUAGGGAUUGAAAAAACUAGCUGAACGAGGAAGAAGUAGGUUUUCGUGAGCCAGAAUUAAUCCAGCUGCGGUAGUAACUGCUGACGAUGUUAACAAAUAAGAAAAAUCCACAACCUUGAUUCGGACUCACACUUCAAAAAUUUUACGUCGAAGUAAACCCACUCUAAAUAGCCUAAACACCCUAACACUUGGAAAUCUGGUCUCGUGGACAUUAAAUAUCCACAAUCUUUAUUCGGAUUCAUGCUUUAAAAAUCUUAAAUUGAAAUAAAUCCACUCUAAACAGCCCAAACAUCCUAACACUCCACGACCCCCAUAACCUCAAAUUCAAGCAAACCUACUAUAAAUAGCCUAAACACCCUAACACUUGGAAAUAUUAUUCGAUAGACCUUAAAAAUCCACAACUUUCAUUUGGAUUCACAUCCCCAAAACCUCAAACUGAAGUAAAUCCACUUUAAACAGUCCAAACAUCCUAACCCCCCCCCCAUAAUUCACGCUUAAACAAAUCUUAAAUUGAAAUAAAUUUAUGCUAAACAGCCUAAAAUUCUACAUUCCUCUUAAUACAUGAUUGCAUUCCAAGUAUUUCGAUCGUUCCCACGCAUAGUGGAAUCUUUAACAAAGAAUUCUCACUAGAUUCACUUCAGUCCAUACAUGCAAAGAGGUAGACUAAAAUUUCCACACAAAAAAAUAAAAAUAAAAAAAAUAUACAUGUCGAAUUGCGUAAACUCCUCCUUUUCGAAGUUGAUUAAAAAUCGAUGCCCAAUGCUUUGACUCGACUACCAUAAACGUGCAUCGCAACUAACGGUAGCCAUUGAUCAAACAGAAAGAAAAAACCCUAACCCAGAAACCGGCCUUCACUUCGUGGCGUUAAUAACCAGGAAGCCCAUGAAUUCCGGAAGGUUCCGAUGCUAUUCGACACCUGAAAGAAGCAAAGGUCUCUCCUGCGAAAUUGGAACGGCUAGCGAAAACUAAUGACGUCCAAUUCAAACGGCGACAACCCCGCCGCGGACGAUGAAUAGCAAGAUCGACAAGAGCUCGUACUUUCCGCGGGUCUACCUUGAAAUCCCAGCCCAGGGUUAGGUCUGGGUUCUCUUUGGACCCAGGCCAAAACUCCGAGCCUCCGGCAUCCCACUCCUGUUUCACGCCUAUAUUUCAUUACAUCGAUUCCUUGUCGCGUGUUUUGCCUACAUGAUCGUGGCACCCCCAUUCCCAGGGACGCUUUCCCCCGAAACACGAGACUCCGUCGAACAGGGGUUUUGUUUCGAUCAUCGAGCCGCGUUGGACGAUAAGCGGGCCGGAUUCAACAUCACCUGAAACGAGGCGUUGGCGUUAACGUCCCGCGGACUUAAUGCGACGAUGGUUCUGACGCCAGAAACGACGCGAUGUUAAACGUUCAACGCUUUAUCUCUCGGAUCACACUUUUUCCUUUGGGUCCGUGCCAGACACCUACUUCUUUCUCACUUAGCUGUCUUUUCAAUCCCUGGGUGGUCGAGGCUGCUCGGUUCCGAGUCUCAACGUUCCAUUAUACGCCAACCGAACGAGAUUUUCAAGCGUUGGGGUGUUUAGAAUGUUUAGAGGAGGUUUGAUCGAAUUUGAGGUUUUGGGAGCGUGAAUCCAAAUGAAAUUUGUGGAUUUUUAAGGUCUAUCGAAUAAUAUUUCCAAGUGUUGAGGUGUUUAGUCUGUUUAGAGUAGGUUUGCUUGAAUUUGAAAUUAUGGGGGCGUGGUUUUAGCUAUUUAGAGUGGGUUUUCUUCAGUUUGGGAUUUCGAGGGCGUGAAUUCAAAUGAAAGUUAUAGAUUUUCCCAAUUUGUCAGCUUCUGGCUGAAUUCGAACAUACGAAAAUCUAC
This is a long non-coding RNA of Hylaeus anthracinus, 3127 nucleotides long. RefSeq lists it as uncharacterized. The record is from RefSeq and is a predicted model, not a curated record. The transcript has 3 exons. NCBI's taxonomy places the organism in Eukaryota, Metazoa, Arthropoda, Insecta, Hymenoptera, Colletidae.